AUGGAGAGACUUGUUAAUGUUCAUUACAUUGACAAGGAGGCAUUCUUGAGUAACAAUGCCGACACGGGUGAGGAACCAUUGGUUUUUGAUACAAGCCCUAGCUAUGAGGAUGUUGUUGCAAAAGUGAGACAAGUUUUGAAGUGGAUGGACACCAAUGUUGAUGUUAAAUUAAUAGGAAGGUAUGAUGUUGGAGUUGGAGCCAAAUCUCGCUUGAAAAGUAUGCCUAUCACCUCAGAUUUGCAUUGGGAUGUAUACAAGGAAAAAGUAUCCCAAUCGGAAGAUAAGUCACUUGAAUUGUUUGCCACCAAGGUUGAAUCUCCUCGGUUUAUCUUUGAUUUGAACCGGCAUGUCUCUUCCCCAAUGGAUGACAUGAGCGUUGAGUUGUAUGCCCCCAAUGCUUCUAGCCAACCACCAACUAGCCAAGCAAAUGAAGUUGAGGUGAUUGCUAGUGACGGAGUAAUUCAAGAGGAUGAAGAUGCUUAUGAUGACGACGAAGAGCAAGAGGAAGGGUUUCAUGGUAAUGAUGUUGGUGACUUGGAUGCGUACAUAGCGCAAAAGGACAUGGAUCGUGACUAG
This 576-nucleotide ribosomal RNA is filed under the name Triticum aestivum (bread wheat). RNAcentral describes it as "partial small subunit ribosomal RNA". Lineage: Eukaryota; Viridiplantae; Streptophyta; Magnoliopsida; Poales; Poaceae. The record is from RNAcentral.